RNAcentral lists this ribosomal RNA (492 nucleotides) under uncultured bacterium. RNAcentral's name for it is "partial 16S ribosomal RNA". It matches the Rfam family "Bacterial small subunit ribosomal RNA", at positions 29 to 507 of the family's 1533-position model. The record is from RNAcentral.
AGUGAACGCUGGCGGUAGGCCUAACACAUGCAGGUCGAACGGCAGCACAGUAAGAGCUUGCUCUUACGGGUGGCGAGUGGCGGACGGGUGAGGAAUACAUCGGAAUCUACUUUUUCGUGGGGGAUAACGUAGGGAAACUUACGCUAAUACCGCAUACGACCUACGGGUGAAAGCAGGGGAUCUUCGGACCUUGCGCGAUUGAAUGAGCCGAUGUCGGAUUAGCUAGUUGGCGGGGUAAAGGCCCACCAAGGCGACGAUCCGUAGCUGGUCUGAGAGGAUGAUCAGCCACACUGGAACUGAGACACGGUCCAGACUCCUACGGGAGGCAGCAGCGGGGAAUAUUGGACAAUGGGCGCAAGCCUGAUCCAGCCAUACCGCGUGGGUGAAGAAGGCCUUCGGGUUGUAAAGCCCUUUUGUUGGGAAAGAAAAGCAGCAGGUUAAUACCCCGCUGUUCUGACGGUACCCAAAGAAUAAGCACCGGCUAACUUCGUG